Molecule: non-coding RNA, 2160 nt
Organism: Vicugna pacos (alpaca)
Lineage: Eukaryota; Metazoa; Chordata; Mammalia; Artiodactyla; Camelidae
Source: RefSeq, a predicted model, not a curated record
AUGAGCUAUCUAGGUAUCUCUCCUUGCCUAAAGAGGAAUCAAUACCAAGGAGUUGAGAGCAAUCAGUUACUUCAAACACUGCUGACAGGUCAAGUAAGAUGAAGACUAAGAAUUGACCCUGGGAUUUAGUUAUGGGGAGUUCACUGAUCACCUAGACAAAGCCAGUAUGAAUGGGGUGGUGGAGGAAAUGUCUAAGUGGGAUGAAAUUAAGAGAGGUUGGAGAGGAGGAAUUAGAAAUAAGUGAGUAUGAGGAGCUCUUCCAAAGAGCUUUGCUGUCAAAGGCAGAGAAAAAAAUGGGAUGAGAGCUAGAAGGGGAAGUGGGAUCAAGAAUAGAUUUCUUCUUAAUACAGAAAUUAUGACUAUCUGUCUGCCCCCUUACAGGAAUGAUUUAGGAGAGAGCAAAACUUGAUAGUAGGAGAGAAGAGAGACAGCAGUGUCCUGAGGGAGACGACAUGGAAUCUUGUGCACAAGAAACGAGUCUAGCUUUAGUAGGAGUGGGACAAUUGCUCCAUCGUGACUGGUGUACAUGGACAGAUGCUGGAAGGUGGGUAGAUGUAGUGGCAGUGAUGGCGGCAGUUCCAUUUCUACCAAAGAUGGAGCAGUCAAGUUUCCUGUCUCACAGAAUGAAGGCUAUAGCUGAACCCAGGGGGAAAAAGAAGGUAAUCUUCCUUUGUUAAACAUGGCCCUGGAAUCAUCUCAGGGCAGAUACAACAGAUCUUAGGAAACAUUUUGUGAGCCCAUCUGGCACCUCUGACACUGGAUCAAGAUUCUCUGAGCUUGAGGGAUGGGGGUAGAGGAGAAAAAAGAUGAGAAGGCACAGAGGAGCUAUAAAGUGAGAACUUGGCGGUACCAGAAUCUGAACAGCCAACUUGGAAGGUCAUCCCAGAAUGAGUGGAGUCAGCAUUUGAGGACUGCCUGCCUGGUCUCCACUCCUGCCAGGGCUGCCCUUUCAGCCAGCCUGGCAGCACUGACCACCCAGCAGGUGUUCUGCAUCCCUGUGUCCUAAUCUCCCUCUAUGUGGGCAACUCCCCUUUUAAAAGCUCCAGACACUGGUAAGCACUCCCACUGCUCUAGCAAAACAUGGGGCCCCAGAAAUCAAGGGAUUAGGGGAGUCUUCGGGAAGAAAACCUUAUGCUAUUAUUCUGCUGGGAUAGAGUGGAACCAGUUCAAGAUCAACACCAACUUGCCUGCUGCCCCAGGAUAGGACAGUAAUAAUCUACACCCUCUCUAGAAUCUUUCCUCCCCUUUCAUUUUCGGUAACUUUGCCUUGAACAGUUGGGUUGUUGAGCCACAGCUGAGCACCAGAAAGGACUUUAAGGAACAGAAUUUCCCACUUUUUCGAUUCCUUUAAAAACAAGGGAAUCUUCUGUGACAGCUGCUGUCCCAAAGUCCUUGGUCCUAUGUUCCUUCCCAAGUCUUGGUCUCACUGUGCUGUUUUCCAUGUCCUGAGAAUCUUUUAUUCUAGUGCUAGGAAGCUUGGUUUCUUUAAGCUGUUGCUUCAACAUUUCUCUCUGGGUAUAAAUUUGGUUUUGUGUCUGGGAGCCCUGUUUUAAAAAAAAAAUGUCAUUUGGUAAGCCAAAGCUGUUAAAUAAAUGACAUUACAACUGGCUGUCGGUAAUAAAGUAAAUAGUAAAAAGAUAGCAUGGCUGGCUGCUCCGUCAGAUCUCAGACAACCUAGGACUGGACUUUUGUACUUUCUGCUGAGAAACGUGUGUGUGGUGACAGGGAGUUUGAUGCUUUAACAGAAUGACAGGCUUAUGCACAAAGACACUGACUUUCUGAAGCAUUGUGACAGCUUCUCCUCUCACUUUACUUACCCUGCAAUGGAAUGAGGUGGGCAGGCCGGUAUUUGACAGAAGUCCAGCGUAGGGCAGUUAAAAACGCGCUCCCCAGGUCACACACAAGGACAGUCCUCAGGGUGAGGCCCGUUUCUGGACAUUGUGCCGCCCUGUGCUCCGGUAUCUGGACACGCCUCUCUUCUAACAUGCUUUGUGUCCAUGGAGGAGCCGCGCAGCCCAGAUGAGAGUGACGCGCACCCACUCCAAGUCCUCGCCCGGGAACGCUUCAUCCCAGCUCCGCGGAAUGCUGGUCGGGUCUCGAACCGGCCGCUCUGAACUCCCGCUUCCCCUCGCGGCGGCCGCCCGGGUCCCAGGGGCUGCG